RNAcentral lists this ribosomal RNA (1139 nucleotides) under Campylobacter coli. RNAcentral's name for it is "partial 23S ribosomal RNA". It matches the Rfam family "Bacterial large subunit ribosomal RNA", at positions 1783 to 2925 of the family's 2925-position model. The record is from RNAcentral. Lineage: Bacteria; Pseudomonadati; Campylobacterota; Epsilonproteobacteria; Campylobacterales; Campylobacteraceae.
AAAGAGUCCCUCCCGACUGUUUACCAAAAACACAGCACUCUGCUAACUCGUAAGAGGAUGUAUAGGGUGUGACGCCUGCCCGGUGCUCGAAGGUUAAUUGAUGGGGUUAGCAUUAGCGAAGCUCUUGAUCGAAGCCCGAGUAAACGGCGGCCGUAACUAUAACGGUCCUAAGGUAGCGAAAUUCCUUGUCGGUUAAAUACCGACCUGCAUGAAUGGCGUAACGAGAUGGGAGCUGUCUCAAAGAGGGAUCCAGUGAAAUUGUAGUGGAGGUGAAAAUUCCUCCUACCCGCGGCAAGACGGAAAGACCCCGUGGACCUUUACUACAGCUUGACACUGCUAUUUGGAUAAGAAUGUGCAGGAUAGGUGGGAGGCUUUGAGUAUAUGACGCCAGUUGUAUAUGAGCCAUUGUUGAGAUACCACUCUUUCUUAUUUGGGUAGCUAACCAGCUUGAGUUAUCCUCAAGUGGGACAAUGUCUGGUGGGUAGUUUGACUGGGGCGGUCGCCUCCCAAAUAAUAACGGAGGCUUACAAAGGUUGGCUCAGAACGGUUGGAAAUCGUUCGUAGAGUAUAAAGGUAUAAGCCAGCUUAACUGCAAGACAUACAAGUCAAGCAGAGACGAAAGUCGGUCUUAGUGAUCCGGUGGUUCUGUGUGGAAGGGCCAUCGCUCAAAGGAUAAAAGGUACCCCGGGGAUAACAGGCUGAUCUCCCCCAAGAGCUCACAUCGACGGGGAGGUUUGGCACCUCGAUGUCGGCUCAUCGCAUCCUGGGGCUGGAGCAGGUCCCAAGGGUAUGGCUGUUCGCCAUUUAAAGCGGUACGCGAGCUGGGUUCAGAACGUCGUGAGACAGUUCGGUCCCUAUCUGCCGUGGGCGUAAGAAGAUUGAAGAGAUUUGACCCUAGUACGAGAGGACCGGGUUGAACAAACCACUGGUGUAGCUGUUGUUCUGCCAAGAGCAUCGCAGCGUAGCUAAGUUUGGAAAGGAUAAACGCUGAAAGCAUCUAAGCGUGAAGCCAACUCUAAGAUGAAUCUUCUCUAAGCUCUCUAGAAGACUACUAGUUUGAUAGGCUGGGUGUGUAAUGGAUGAAAGUCCUUUAGCUGACCAGUACUAAUAGAGCGUUUGGCUUAUCUUUAAUAAAGCAU